GGGGUUGUGGCUCAGAGGUAGAGCACUCGCCUAGCAUGCGUGAGGCACUGGGUUCAAUCCUCAGCAUCACAU
RNAcentral lists this transfer RNA (72 nucleotides) under Ictidomys tridecemlineatus (thirteen-lined ground squirrel). Its description in RNAcentral is "Spermophilus tridecemlineatus (thirteen-lined ground squirrel) tRNA". It matches the Rfam family "tRNA". Rfam says of the family: Transfer RNA (tRNA) molecules are approximately 80 nucleotides in length. Their secondary structure includes four short double-helical elements and three loops (D, anti-codon, and T loops). The record is from Rfam by way of RNAcentral. Lineage: Eukaryota; Metazoa; Chordata; Mammalia; Rodentia; Sciuridae.